RNAcentral lists this ribosomal RNA (765 nucleotides) under uncultured Streptococcus sp. RNAcentral describes it as "bacterial SSU rRNA". It matches the Rfam family "Bacterial small subunit ribosomal RNA", at positions 28 to 776 of the family's 1533-position model. The record is from RNAcentral. Lineage: Bacteria; Bacillati; Bacillota; Bacilli; Lactobacillales; Streptococcaceae.
GAUGAACGCUGGCGGCGUGCCUAAUACAUGCAAGUAGAACGCUGAAGCUUGGUGCUUGCACCGAGCGGAUGAGUUGCGAACGGGUGAGUAACGCGUAGGUAACCUGCCUCUUAGCGGGGGAUAACUAUUGGAAACGAUAGCUAAUACCGCAUAAAAGUCGACAUCGCAUGAUGUUGACUUGAAAGGUGCAAAUGCAUCACUAAGAGAUGGACCUGCGUUGUAUUAGCUAGUUGGUGAGGUAACGGCUCACCAAGGCGACGAUACAUAGCCGACCUGAGAGGGUGAUCGGCCACACUGGGACUGAGACACGGCCCAGACUCCUACGGGAGGCAGCAGUAGGGAAUCUUCGGCAAUGGGGGCAACCCUGACCGAGCAACGCCGCGUGAGUGAAGAAGGUUUUCGGAUCGUAAAGCUCUGUUGUAAGAGAAGAACGAGUGUGAGAGUGGAAAGUUCACACUGUGACGGUAACUUACCAGAAAGGGACGGCUAACUACGUGCCAGCAGCCGCGGUAAUACGUAGGUCCCGAGCGUUAUCCGGAUUUAUUGGGCGUAAAGCGAGCGCAGGCGGUUAGAUAAGUCUGAAGUUAAAGGCUGUGGCUUAACCAUAGUACGCUUUGGAGACUGUUUAACUUGAGUGCAGAAGGGGAGAGUGGAAUUCCAUGUGUAGCGGUGAAAUGCGUAGAUAUAUGGAGGAACACCGGUGGCGAAAGCGGCUCUCUGGUCUGUAACUGACGCUGAGGCUCGAAAGCGUGGGGAGCAAACAGG